GACGAACGCUGGCGGCGUGCUUAACACAUGCAAGUCGAGCGGUAAGGCCCUUUCGGGGGUACACGAGCGGCGAACGGGUGAGUAACACGUGGGUGACCUGCCCUCAGCUCUGGGAUAAGCCUGGGAAACUGGGUCUAAUACCGGAUAUGACUCCAUGACGCAUGUUGUGGGGUGGAAAGCCUUGUGCGGCUGAGGAUGGGCCCGCGGCCUAUCAGCUUGUUGGUGGGGGAUGGCCUACCAAGGCGACGACGGGUAGCCGGCCUGAGAGGGCGACCGGCCACACUGGGACUGAGACACGGCCCAGACUCCUACGGGAGGCAGCAGUGGGGAAUCUUGCGCAAUGGGCGAAAGCCUGACGCAGCGACGCCGCGUGAGGGAUGACGGCCUGGUGUAAC
This 395-nucleotide ribosomal RNA is filed under the name uncultured bacterium. RNAcentral describes it as "bacterial SSU rRNA". It matches the Rfam family "Bacterial small subunit ribosomal RNA", at positions 28 to 429 of the family's 1533-position model. The record is from RNAcentral.